CAGCAGUGGGGAAUCUUAGACAAUGGGCGCAAGCCUGAUCUAGCCAUGCCGCGUGAGCGAUGAAGGCCUUAGGGUUGUAAAGCUCUUUCAGGGGGGAAGAUAAUGACGGUACCCCCAGAAGAAGCCCCGGCUAACUCCGUA
RNAcentral lists this ribosomal RNA (141 nucleotides) under uncultured bacterium. RNAcentral's name for it is "partial 16S ribosomal RNA". It matches the Rfam family "Bacterial small subunit ribosomal RNA", at positions 349 to 507 of the family's 1533-position model. The record is from RNAcentral.